AGCCUCCGAGCCAGUGACCCUUCCCAGACCGCCGACCACUCAAGAGCAAUGGCCCGGGCGACCAUCCU
This 68-nucleotide non-coding RNA is filed under the name Alexandrium minutum. The record is from RNAcentral. Lineage: Eukaryota; Dinophyceae; Gonyaulacales; Pyrocystaceae.